CGAUGAACCGCCUUCGGGCGGGGAUUAGUGGCGAACGGGUGAGUAACACGUGGGCAAUCUGCCCUGCACUCUGGGACAAGCCCUGGAAACGGGGUCUAAUACCGGAUACAACCACUUCGGGCAUCCGAUGGUGGUGGAAAGCUCCGGCGGUGCAGGAUGAGCCCGCGGCCUAUCAGCUUGUUGGUGAGGUAACGGCUCACCAAGGCGACGACGGGUAGCCGGCCUGAGAGGGCGACCGGCCACACUGGGACUGAGACACGGCCCAGACUCCUACGGGAGGCAGCAGUGGGGAAUAUUGCACAAUGGGCGCAAGCCUGAUGCAGCGACGCCGCGUGAGGGAUGACGGCCUUCGGGUUGUAAACCUCUUUCAGCAGGGAAGAAGCGCAAGUGACGGUACCUGCAGAAGAAGCGCCGGCUAACUACGUGCCAGCAGCCGCGGUAAUACGUAGGGCGCGAGCGUUGUCCGGAAUUAUUGGGCGUAAAGAGCUCGUAGGCGGCUUGUCGCGUCGGUUGUGAAAGCCCGGGGCUUAACCCCGGGUCUGCAGUCGAUACGGGCAGGCUAGAGUUCGGUAGGGGAGAUCGGAAUUCCUGGUGUAGCGGUGAAAUGCGCAGAUAUCAGGAGGAACACCGGUGGCGAAGGCGGAUCUCUGGGCCGAUACUGACGCUGAGGAGCGAAAGCGUGGGGAGCGAACAGGAUUAGAUACCCUGGUAGUCCACGCCGUAAACGGUGGGCACUAGGUGUGGGCGACAUUCCACGUCGUCCGUGCCGCAGCUAACGCAUUAAGUGCCCCGCC
RNAcentral lists this ribosomal RNA (794 nucleotides) under Streptomyces sp. RNAcentral describes it as "bacterial SSU rRNA". It matches the Rfam family "Bacterial small subunit ribosomal RNA", at positions 67 to 873 of the family's 1533-position model. The record is from RNAcentral. Lineage: Bacteria; Bacillati; Actinomycetota; Actinomycetes; Kitasatosporales; Streptomycetaceae.